Molecule: ribosomal RNA, 490 nt
Filed under: uncultured bacterium
Lineage: Bacteria
Description: partial 16S ribosomal RNA
Rfam family: Bacterial small subunit ribosomal RNA
Source: RNAcentral
AUUGAACGCUGGCGGCAUGCCUUACACAUGCAAGUCGAACGAGUGUAGCAAUACACAAGUGGCGAACGGGUGAGUAAUGCAUCGGAACGUAUCCCAUUGUGGGGGAUAACGUAGCGAAAGUUACGCUAAUACCGCAUAAGACCUGAGGGUGAAAGCGGGGGAUCUUCGGACCUCGCGCGAUAGGAGCGGCCGAUGUCGGAUUAGCUAGUAGGUGGGGUAAAGGCUUACCUAGGCGACGAUCCGUAGUGGGUCUGAGAGGAUGAUCCGCCACACUGGGACUGAGACACGGCCCAGACUCCUACGGGAGGCAGCAGUGGGGAAUUUUGGACAAUGGGCGCAAGCCUGAUUCAGCCAUGCCGCGUGAGUGAAGAAGGCCUUCGGGUUGUAAAGCUCUUUCGGACGGAAAGAAAUUGCUUCGGAUAAUACCUGGAGUAGAUGACGGUACCGUAAGAAGAAGCACCGGCUAACUACGUGCCAGCCGCCGCCGUAA